Molecule: ribosomal RNA, 400 nt
Filed under: Acinetobacter baumannii
Lineage: Bacteria; Pseudomonadati; Pseudomonadota; Gammaproteobacteria; Moraxellales; Moraxellaceae
Description: bacterial SSU rRNA
Rfam family: Bacterial small subunit ribosomal RNA
Source: RNAcentral
AGUGGAGGUUAACAGAAUGACAGAUGGUGCAUGGUUGUCGUCAGCUCGUGUCGUGAGAUGUUCGGUUAAGUCCUGCAACGAGCGCAACCCUUAUCCUUAGUUACUACCAUUUAGUUGAGCACUCUAAGGAGACUGCCCGAGUAAUCGGGAGGAAGGUGGGGACGACGUCAAAUCAUCAUGCCUCUUACGAGUGGGGCUACACACGUGCUACAAUGGACGGUACAAAGAGAAGCGAAGUGGUGACAUGGAGCAAACCUCAAAAAACCGUUCUCAGUUCGGAUUGAAGUCUGCAACUCGACUUCAUGAAGUCGGAAUCGCUAGUAAUCGUAGAUCAGCUACGCUACGGUGAAUACGUUCUCGGGUCUUGUACACACCGCCCGACAAACCAUGGGAGCUGGUA